Molecule: long non-coding RNA, 1191 nt
Organism: Lates calcarifer (barramundi perch)
Lineage: Eukaryota; Metazoa; Chordata; Actinopteri; Centropomidae
Exons: 3
Source: RefSeq, a predicted model, not a curated record
GAGAGCGCAGAGAGGCGGAGAAACAAAAUUCGAAAACAGAUUUAAGCCAAGUUUGAAAGCUUGCAUCUGUUUGCUAGUGCUAUGAGAAAACGUCGUUGUAGAGGCCUGGGUGUUAAAACAAAACACUGGAACUGCUUUUUUGCCGAACACGAGUGAGACUGGACGCUGUAUACACCUGCAACGCGAAGGUGUCACCACUUUGUCCACGACAUCGUCCACUGAGACGUCGUCCACGAUCGCAGAGACAUGGUCCAUGAUCGGAGAGACAUUGUUGAGGAUGAGGGAGACAUCGUCCACGAUCAGAGACAUUGUCCACGAUCGCAAAAACCUUGUCAAAGAUGAGAGAGACGUUGUCCAUGAUCAGAGACAUUGCCCAUGCUUCGUAGAGACCUUGCGAUAGAAUCGGCGGAGACGGGGGUCACCGAUUUGACGGCAUUGCCCGCGAUCAGGGACAUUGUCGAUGGUCACAGAGACAGCGUCUAUGAUCUCAGAGACAUCGUCCACGAUCACAAAGACACAGUCCAUGAUCACAGAGACAUUGUCCAUAAUCUCAGAGACAUUGUCCGCGAUCACAGAGACGCAGUCCACGAUCACAGAGUCUUCGUACAAUGAAGAAGUUCUUUGAGACCAGGACAGAGGCCUCCAGGUGUUACCACUUUGUCCACGACAUCGUCCGCUGAGACGUCGUCCACGAUCGCAGAGACAUGGUCCAUGAUCGGAGAGACAUUGUUGAGGAUGAGGGAGACAUCGUCCACGAUCAGAGACAUUGUCCACGAUUGCAAAGACCUUGUCAAAGAUGAGAGAGACGUUGUCCAUGAUCAGAGACAUUGCCCAUGCUUCGUAGAGACCUUGCGAUAGAAUCGGCGGAGACGGGGGUCACCGAUUUGACGGCAUUGCCCGCGAUCAGGGACAUUGUCGAUGGUCACAGAGACAGCGUCUAUGAUCUCAGAGACAUCGUCCACGAUCACAAAGACAUAGUCCAUGAUCACAGAGACAUUGUCCAUAAUCUCAGAGACAUUGUCCGCGAUCACAGAGACGUAGUCCACGAUCACAGAGUCUUCGUACAAUGAAGAAGUUCUUUGAGACCAGGACAGAGGCCUCCAGGUAAUUCACAAACAAGUUUACAUCAACUGUCCAACACAGAGCACUGACAUUAAAUGUUUAUGUUCAGUUUUCAGUAUAUCAGAAAAG